CUUGCUCUCGGGUGACGAGUGGCGGACGGGUGAGUAAUGUCUGGGAAACUGCCUGAUGGAGGGGGAUAACUACUGGAAACGGUAGCUAAUACCGCAUAACGUCUUCGGACCAAAGUGGGGGACCUUCGGGCCUCACACCAUCGGAUGUGCCCAGAUGGGAUUAGCUAGUAGGUGGGGUAAUGGCUCACCUAGGCGACGAUCCCUAGCUGGUCUGAGAGGAUGACCAGCCACACUGGAACUGAGACACGGUCCAGACUCCUACGGGAGGCAGCAGUGGGGAAUAUUGCACAAUGGGCGCAAGCCUGAUGCAGCCAUGCCGCGUGUAUGAAGAAGGCCUUCGGGUUGUAAAGUACUUUCAGCGGGGAGGAAGGCGAUAAGGUUAAUAACCUUGUCGAUUGACGUUACCCGCAGAAGAAGCACCGGCUAACUCCGUGCCAGCAGCCGCGGUAAUACGGAGGGUGCAAGCGUUAAUCGGAAUUACUGGGCGUAAAGCGCACGCAGGCGGUCUGUCAAGUCAGAUGUGAAAUCCCCGGGCUUAACCUGGGAACUGCAUUUGAAACUGGCAGGCUAGAGUCUUGUAGAGGGGGGUAGAAUUCCAGGUGUAGCGGUGAAAUGCGUAGAGAUCUGGAGGAAUACCGGUGGCGAAGGCGGCCC
Molecule: ribosomal RNA, 654 nt
Filed under: Erwinia sp.
Lineage: Bacteria; Pseudomonadati; Pseudomonadota; Gammaproteobacteria; Enterobacterales; Erwiniaceae
Description: bacterial SSU rRNA
Rfam family: Bacterial small subunit ribosomal RNA
Source: RNAcentral